Long non-coding RNA from Daphnia pulex (common water flea), 643 nucleotides. RefSeq lists it as uncharacterized. The transcript has 4 exons. The record is from RefSeq and is a predicted model, not a curated record. NCBI's taxonomy places the organism in Eukaryota, Metazoa, Arthropoda, Branchiopoda, Diplostraca, Daphniidae.
UUUUGUUCCGAAACGCCAAGUUAAAAGGUACUCCAAAUUCGUUACGGAAUUACGGUGUCGAUCUACAUUUUCAGCAUUGAAAUUUAAUGGCAAUCUGGAAUAAAAUUUCCACUUGGUCAAAUAAUCGAUCACGUGGACUGAAAUUGCUUUCCAUUUUGGCAAAAUGUCGUCCGUUGUUAGCUGUUAAGCUGUACCUGUUCGGAUGUACGUCUCAUCUCACGCAGAAACACAAAAGAGUUGGUGUUCAGGUUGGAGAUCCCGUUGCUUAACUGUUGCAGAAUGUGACAACUCAACAAAUUCUGAGCUCCAUGGCUGGCAUCUUGGCCACAGUGGUUUUGUUGCAGCCAGCUGAUGAAAGGUGUGAUUGAGUCAAGUUUAGCUGCAGCUGCUGCAUGCAGUUUUUCGAGCUGGUGUUAUCCUGAAGUGUCAUUGCAGGAAGACUUUUUGAAAUGGACUUGGUGAUACUUAAACUAUGCCUGUACAGUUCAAUGUGCAGUGGUUUUUCCGCCUGUUUCCAGUUGAGAGAUGUGAUUAUGCAGCUGAUACAGGAUUGAAGAAAAAGAACUGAAGAAGCUGUGCUGGUGUUCUCCUGAAAUUGCUGUGCCACAGGAGUUGCAGAUGAUGAAGUUUAUGUAAAGAGACU